UACGAAGGGGGCUAGCGUUGCUCGGAUUGACUGGGCGUAAAGGGCGCGUAGGCGGUUCGUACAGUCAGACGGUGAAAUUCCUGGGCUCAACCUGGGGGCUGCGUUUGGAUACGUGCGGACUUGAGUGCGGAAGAGGGUCGUGGAAUUCCCAGUGUAGAGGUGAAAUUCGUAGAUAUUGGGAAGAACACCGGUGGCGAAGGCGGCGACCUGGUCCGAUACUGACGCUGAGGCGC
RNAcentral lists this ribosomal RNA (233 nucleotides) under uncultured bacterium. RNAcentral describes it as "partial 16S ribosomal RNA". It matches the Rfam family "Bacterial small subunit ribosomal RNA", at positions 524 to 754 of the family's 1533-position model. The record is from RNAcentral.